CGAUGACAUUAGCUGCAGAAUAAGCACCGGCUAACUCUGUGCCAGCAGCCGCGGUAAUACAGAGGGUGCAAGCGUUAAUCGGAAUUACUGGGCGUAAAGGGAGCGUAGGUGGCUCUAUAAGUCAGAUGUGAAAUCCCCGGGCUUAACCUGGGAACUGCAUCUGAAACUGUAGAGCUAGAGUAUGUGAGAGGGAGGUAGAAUUUCAGGUGUAGCGGUGAAAUGCGUAGAGAUCUGAAGGAAUACCGAUGGCGAAGGCAGCCUCCUGGCAUAAUACUGACACUGAGGCUCGAAAGCGUGGGUAGCAAACAGGAUUAGAUACCCUGGUAGUCCACGCCGUAAACGAUGUCUACUAGUCGUUGGGUCCCUUGAGGACUUAGUGACGCAGCUAACGCAAUAAGUAGACCGCCUGGGGAGUACGGCCGCAAGGUUAAAACUCAAAUGAAUUGACGGGGGCCCGCACAAGCGGUGGAGCAUGUGGUUUAAUUCGAUGCAACGCGAAGAACCUUACCUGGUCUUGACAUAUCUAGAAUCCUGCAGAGAUGCGGGAGUGCCUUCGGGAAUUAGAAUACAGGUGCUGCAUGGCUGUCGUCAGCUCGUGUCGUGAGAUGUUGGGUUAAGUCCCGCAACGAGCGCAACCCUUGUCCUUAGUUACCAGCGGGUUAAGCCGGGAACUCUAAGGAUACUGCCAGUGACAAACUGGAGGAAGGCGGGGACGACGUCAAGUCAUCAUGGCCCUUACGACCAGGGCUACACACGUGCUACAAUGGUAGGUACAGAGGGCAGCUACACAGCGAUGUGAU
This 800-nucleotide ribosomal RNA is filed under the name Psychrobacter sp. UYIF34. RNAcentral describes it as "bacterial SSU rRNA". It matches the Rfam family "Bacterial small subunit ribosomal RNA", at positions 467 to 1266 of the family's 1533-position model. The record is from RNAcentral. Lineage: Bacteria; Pseudomonadati; Pseudomonadota; Gammaproteobacteria; Moraxellales; Moraxellaceae.